UAUUUCAUAGGACUUGAGAGCUGAUGAUUGCAUCCAUGUCUUUCUUAUCAUCAUUCGUUAUGCAAAAUGAUCAAUGGCAAAGACGUAGCAUACGCUCAAAAUUUUUUACCACAGACUAUUGUUCACAUUCAUAAGGUUGGACCACCUUGUGGCGGCAUAGGCAUAUAGUAGUAAGGAAAUGGAUGACCUAUCAAAUAGUAGAAAAAUUAGUACAUGUAUUUGAAGAAGUCAUAUAGAAAUGUAGUAAAUUAACCUCAUCAUCACAUUAUGGAUGGAAUAUAACACUUGUUGGUAAUAGAGGGAGUGCAUCUGAUGU
Molecule: long non-coding RNA, 316 nt
Filed under: Olea europaea (common olive)
Lineage: Eukaryota; Viridiplantae; Streptophyta; Magnoliopsida; Lamiales; Oleaceae
Description: long non-coding RNA (OEUR_LNC004607)
Source: RNAcentral